This 75-nucleotide transfer RNA is filed under the name Planctomycetota bacterium. Its description in RNAcentral is "tRNA-Lys". It matches the Rfam family "tRNA". From Rfam's summary of the family: Transfer RNA (tRNA) molecules are approximately 80 nucleotides in length. Their secondary structure includes four short double-helical elements and three loops (D, anti-codon, and T loops). The record is from RNAcentral. Lineage: Bacteria; Pseudomonadati; Planctomycetota.
UCGCCUGUAGCUCAACGCCAGAGCACGCGGUUCUUACCCGCGGAGAUGUGGGUGCAAUCCCCACCGGGCGGACCA